This 623-nucleotide ribosomal RNA is filed under the name uncultured Corynebacterium sp. RNAcentral describes it as "bacterial SSU rRNA". It matches the Rfam family "Bacterial small subunit ribosomal RNA", at positions 28 to 669 of the family's 1533-position model. The record is from RNAcentral. Lineage: Bacteria; Bacillati; Actinomycetota; Actinomycetes; Mycobacteriales; Corynebacteriaceae.
GACGAACGCUGGCGGCGUGCUUAACACAUGCAAGUCGAACGGUAAGGCUCCAGCUUGCUGGGGUACACGAGUGGCGAACGGGUGAGUAACACGUGGGUGACCUGCCCUGCACUUCGGGAUAAGCCUGGGAAACUGGGUCUAAUACCGGAUAGGACCGCACCGUGAGGGUGUGGUGGAAAGUUUUUUCGGUGUGGGAUGGGCCCGCGGCCUAUCAGCUUGUUGGUGGGGUAAUGGCCUACCAAGGCGGCGACGGGUAGCCGGCCUGAGAGGGUGGACGGCCACAUUGGGACUGAGACACGGCCCAGACUCCUACGGGAGGCAGCAGUGGGGAAUAUUGCACAAUGGGCGGAAGCCUGAUGCAGCGACGCCGCGUGGGGGAUGACGGCCUUCGGGUUGUAAACUCCUUUCACCAUCGACGAAGGGUUUCUGACGGUAGAUGGAGAAGAAGCACCGGCUAACUACGUGCCAGCAGCCGCGGUAAUACGUAGGGUGCGAGCGUUGUCCGGAAUUCUGGGCGUAAAGAGCUCGUAGGUGGUUUGUCCGUGCCUGUGAAAUCCGGGGCUUACUUCGGGCGUGCAGGCGAUACGGGCUAACUUGAGUACUGUAGGGGGAGAAUGGAAUUC